CUUGGUCAUUUAGAGGAAGUAAAAGUCGUAACAAGGUCUCCGUAGGUGAACCUGCGGAGGGAUCAUUAAUGAGGAAACUCGGAGCGAUCCGAGGGGCCUCCCGGGCCGCCUCGCGCGGCCCCGGGGCGCCCGUCUUCACAACCCUUUGUCGAACGUACUCGUUGCCUCGGGGGCCUCACCGCCCCCGACGGACACCCUUCAAACACUGCAUCCCUGCGUCGGAGUAUUGAAACAAAAUCAAUCAAAACUUUCAACAACGGAUCUCUUGGUUCUGGCAUCGAUGAAGAACGCAGCGAAAUGCGAUAAGUAAUGUGAAUUGCAGAAUUCAGUGAAUCAUCGAAUCUUUGAACGCACAUUGCGCCCCUUGGCAUUCCGAGGGGCAUGCCUGUUCGAGCGUCAUUACAACCCUCAAGCACUGCUUGGUAUUGGGCUCCGCUGGUUUCAGCGGGCCUUAAAAUCAGUGGCAGCGCCGUCUGAGCUCUGAGCGUAGUAAAUACCCUCGCUAUAGAGACCAGGUGGCUCUCGUCAUCAACCCCCAACUUUCUAAGUUUGACCUCGGAUCAGGUAGGGAUACCCGCUGAACUUAAGCAUAUCAAUAAGCGGAGGA
Molecule: ribosomal RNA, 607 nt
Filed under: uncultured fungus
Lineage: Eukaryota; Fungi
Description: eukaryotic LSU rRNA
Rfam family: 5.8S ribosomal RNA (bases 246-399)
Source: RNAcentral